Molecule: non-coding RNA, 607 nt
Organism: Styela clava
Lineage: Eukaryota; Metazoa; Chordata; Ascidiacea; Stolidobranchia; Styelidae
Source: RefSeq, a predicted model, not a curated record
AAUUAUAGUACCGGUACGGUACCGGCACCUUAAUCUAGCCAUAAUUAAACAAUCGAUCAGUCAAUCCACUACUACUAUUACAGUGUUCAUGUGGAUUCAGAUUGCGUUCAGCCAACGUUGCCAGUCAAGCAAACCAAAGCUUUGUUUGCUAAUGUCAAGUGACCAGUACUAGAUAAGACUAGGCUAUAGCCUAUAACGGAUGUUGAUUUUCUCGAAAAUGAAGAUGAUCACAGUAUUGGAACUCACAAGUAGCUAAUAGCAGAGGAACUAAAUGGGAGAAAUAUAGCAGAUGAGCAGUGAACAACUGAUAGAUUGUAAGUCCAUUCCAAUGAUGAACUCUGGAUCAUCACUAGAUCACAGUUCGAAUGGAAGCUUCAAUUAGACAAAAGCAAUUGCAGUGCUGGACUCUUGUUACAAGAUUUUCAAUCUACAAAUACCAUUACGUAGCAGAAAAGCUUGACAUUCAUCACAGCAUGCCUGCUGCUUCUGCCCAAUGAGCAUAUAUACAAUGAGUGGAAACUUGCAAAGAUUUGCUCAUUGUGGCAUUGUCCCCUGCAUUUUUACGUCGUCCAGCUAAAUGGUUCGUUGCAUAUUAAGAAAACGCAUU